RNAcentral lists this ribosomal RNA (743 nucleotides) under Pseudomonas aeruginosa. Its description in RNAcentral is "bacterial SSU rRNA". It matches the Rfam family "Bacterial small subunit ribosomal RNA", at positions 42 to 781 of the family's 1533-position model. The record is from RNAcentral. Lineage: Bacteria; Pseudomonadati; Pseudomonadota; Gammaproteobacteria; Pseudomonadales; Pseudomonadaceae.
GCAGGCCUUAAACAUGCAAGUCGAGCGGAUGAAGGGAGCUUGCUCCUGGAUUCAGCGGCGGACGGGUGAGUAAUGCCUAGGAAUCUGCCUGGUAGUGGGGGAUAACGUCCGGAAACGGGCGCUAAUACCGCAUACGUCCUGAGGGAGAAAGUGGGGGAUCUUCGGACCUCACGCUAUCAGAUGAGCCUAGGUCGGAUUAGCUAGUUGGUGGGGUAAAGGCCUACCAAGGCGACGAUCCGUAACUGGUCUGAGAGGAUGAUCAGUCACACUGGAACUGAGACACGGUCCAGACUCCUACGGGAGGCAGCAGUGGGGAAUAUUGGACAAUGGGCGAAAGCCUGAUCCAGCCAUGCCGCGUGUGUGAAGAAGGUCUUCGGAUUGUAAAGCACUUUAAGUUGGGAGGAAGGGCAGUAAGUUAAUACCUUGCUGUUUUGACGUUACCAACAGAAUAAGCACCGGCUAACUUCGUGCCAGCAGCCGCGGUAAUACGAAGGGUGCAAGCGUUAAUCGGAAUUACUGGGCGUAAAGCGCGCGUAGGUGGUUCAGCAAGUUGGAUGUGAAAUCCCCGGGCUCAACCUGGGAACUGCAUCCAAAACUACUGAGCUAGAGUACGGUAGAGGGUGGUGGAAUUUCCUGUGUAGCGGUGAAAUGCGUAGAUAUAGGAAGGAACACCAGUGGCGAAGGCGACCACCUGGACUGAUACUGACACUGAGGUGCGAAAGCGUGGGGAGCAAACAGAUUAG